UGGGAUCUUGUAAGAAGUGCCUUACUCUG
Molecule: non-coding RNA, 29 nt
Filed under: Mus musculus (house mouse)
Lineage: Eukaryota; Metazoa; Chordata; Mammalia; Rodentia; Muridae
Source: RNAcentral